Molecule: long non-coding RNA, 514 nt
Filed under: Phoenix dactylifera (date palm)
Lineage: Eukaryota; Viridiplantae; Streptophyta; Magnoliopsida; Arecales; Arecaceae
Description: long non-coding RNA (PDAC_LNC020244)
Source: RNAcentral
CCAGUACAUAAUACAUAUUCAGGUGAUAUAUAUUCGAUAAAUUUUUGAUGCAUACUUUAAGCUUCUCUGAUUCGUAUCCAAUAGCAAUCUAAUAUACAUCUUUAGAAAAAUCAAUACACAUCUAGGCAAAUUGACAAUUUUCAAAAUAUCAUGUUUUUUUUUUUUUGGUGAAAACGGCUACUCAUAUCAUAUAACUUGAACGUAAGUACAUUCUGCCAAAUCACGGGAAAGUAAAAAAGACAAAGGAUAGGAAACAUCUGAAGUAGACGUCCAAAUAAAAUCUCCGGAAUGACGGGCGACAUAGGAGGCAACCCAGUCUGCUACACUGUUCGCCUCCCUAAACGCGUGUGCUGCCCGAAAGCCACCCAACAUCUGAGCCAUCCUGCGAAUCCCCCGGAUAAGGGGAUGACCAUCGCCAAACCUAUCCUCCCCUCGGAUCCAAUCAAUCACCAUGGAGGAUUCUCCCACGAGGUACACCCGCUCGGCACCAAGUACCAGCCUCGCAUAGGAUAUA